UACGUAGGUGACAAGCGUUGUCCGGAUUUACUGGGCGUAAAGAGCGCGCAGGCGGUCGAUCAAGUCGGAUGUGAAAGCCCCCGGCUCAACUGGGGAGGGUCAUUCGAUACUGGUCGACUCGAAGGCAGGAGAGGGAAGCGGAAUUCCCGGUGUAGUGGUGAAAUGCGUAGAUAUCGGGAGGAACACCAGUGGCGAAGGCGGCUUCCUGGCCUGUUCUUGACGCUGAGGCGCGAAAGCUAGGGGAGCAAACGGG
This 253-nucleotide ribosomal RNA is filed under the name uncultured bacterium. RNAcentral describes it as "partial 16S ribosomal RNA". It matches the Rfam family "Bacterial small subunit ribosomal RNA", at positions 524 to 776 of the family's 1533-position model. The record is from RNAcentral.